GGAUGAGUUGCGAACGGGUGAGUAACGCGUAGGUAACCUGCCUGGUAGCGGGGGAUAACUAUUGGAAACGAUAGCUAAUACCGCAUAACAGUAGAUAUCGCAUGAUAUGUGCUUGAAAGAUGCAAUUGCAUCACUACCAGAUGGACCUGCGUUGUAUUAGCUAGUUGGUGAGGUAACGGCUCACCAAGGCAACGAUACAUAGCCGACCUGAGAGGAUGACCAGCCACACUGGGACUGAGACACGGCCCAGACUCCUACGG
Molecule: ribosomal RNA, 260 nt
Filed under: uncultured bacterium
Lineage: Bacteria
Description: partial 16S ribosomal RNA
Rfam family: Bacterial small subunit ribosomal RNA
Source: RNAcentral